RNAcentral lists this ribosomal RNA (1394 nucleotides) under uncultured bacterium. Its description in RNAcentral is "bacterial SSU rRNA". It matches the Rfam family "Bacterial small subunit ribosomal RNA". The record is from RNAcentral.
AGAGUUUGAUCCUGGCUCAGGAUGAACGCUGGCGGCAUGCCUAAUACAUGCAAGUCGAACGAGGAUCCUUCGGGAUCCUAGUGGCGAACGGGUGAGUAACACGUGGGUAACCUGCCCAAGAGACUGGGAUAACACCUGGAAACAGAUGCUAAUACCGGAUAACAACACUAGACGCAUGUCUAGAGUUUGAAAGAUGGUUCUGCUAUCACUCUUGGAUGGACCUGCGGUGCAUUAGCUAGUUGGUAAGGUAACGGCUUACCAAGGCAAUGAUGCAUAGCCGAGUUGAGAGACUGAUCGGCCACAUUGGGACUGAGACACGGCCCAAACUCCUACGGGAGGCAGCAGUAGGGAAUCUUCCGCAAUGGGCGAAAGCCUGACGGAGCAAUGCCGCGUGAGUGAAGAAGGCCUUCGGGUUGUAAAACUCUGUCCUUAUCGAAGAGAGGUAGGUAUGUGAAUAAUGUACCUAUAGGACGGUAGAUAAGGAGGAAGCCCCGGCUAACUACGUGCCAGCAGCCGCGGUAAUACGUAGGUGGCGAGCGUCAUCCGGAAUGAUUGGGCGUAAAGGGUGCGCAGGCGGUCUUGCAAGUAUGGAGUGAAACGCAUGAGCUCAACUCAUGCAUGGCUUUGGAAACUGGAGGACUGGAGAGCAGGAGAGGGCGGUGGAACUCCAUGUGUAGCGGUAAAAUGCGUAGAUAUAUGGAAGAACACCAGUGGCGAAGGCGGCCGCCUGGCCUGUUGCUGACGCUGAGGCACGAAAGCGUGGGGAGCAAAUAGGAUUAGAUACCCUAGUAGUCCACGCCGUAAACGAUGAGGACCAAGUGCUGGGGGUGAAACCUCAGUGCUGAAGUUAACGCAGUGAGUCCUCCGCCUGGGGAGUAUGCACGCAAGUGUGAAACUCAAAGGAAUUGACGGGGACCCGCACAAGCGGUGGAGUAUGUGGUUUAAUUCGAAGCAACGCGAAGAACCUUACCCGGCCUUGACAUCCUCCCGAAUGUAGAGUAAUGUCUGCAGCCUUUCGGGGCGGGAGAGACAGGUGGUGCAUGGUUGUCGUCAGCUCGUGUCGUGAGAUGUUGGGUUAAGUCCCGCAACGAGCGCAACCCUUACCCUUAGUAGCCAUCAUUAAGUUGGGCACUCUAGGGGGACUGCCGUGGAUAACACGGAGGAAGGUGGGGAUGACGUCAAAUCAUCAUGCCCCUUAUGUCUUGGGCUACACACGUGCUACAAUGGCUGGCAACAAAGUGAAGCGAGACGGCGACGUUAAGCAAAUCACAAAAACCCAGUCCCAGUUCGGAUUGCAGUCUGCAACUCGACUGCAUGAAGCUGGAAUCGCUAGUAAUCGCGAAUCAGAAUGUCGCGGUGAAUACGUUCCCGGGCCUUGCACACACCGCCCGUCA